GAUGAAGAACGUAGCGAAAUGCGAUAAGUAAUGUGAAUUGCAGAAUUCAGUGAAUCAUCGAAUCUUUGAACGCACAUUGCGCCCGCCAGUAUUCUGGCGGGCAUGCCUGUUCGAGCGUCAUUACAACCCUCAGGCCCCCGGGCCUGGCGUUGGGGAUCGGCGGAAGCCCCCUGCGGGCACAACGCCGUCCCCCAAAUACAGUGGCGGUCCCGCCGCAGCUUCCAUUGCGUAGUAGCUAACACCUCGCAACUGGAGAGCGGCGCGGCCACGCCGUAAAACACCCAACUUCUGAAUGUUGACCUCGAAUCAGGUAGGAAUACCCGCUGAACUUAAGCAUAUCAAUAAGCGGAGA
This 352-nucleotide unclassified non-coding RNA is filed under the name soil metagenome. Its description in RNAcentral is "partial contains 5.8S ribosomal RNA, internal transcribed spacer 2, and large subunit ribosomal RNA". The stretch from base 1 to 120 matches the Rfam family "5.8S ribosomal RNA", at positions 35 to 154 of the family's 154-position model. The record is from RNAcentral.